This 837-nucleotide ribosomal RNA is filed under the name uncultured bacterium. RNAcentral's name for it is "bacterial SSU rRNA". It matches the Rfam family "Bacterial small subunit ribosomal RNA", at positions 68 to 916 of the family's 1533-position model. The record is from RNAcentral.
ACGUAAGGCCCCUUCGGGAGUACACGAGCGGCGAACGGGUGAGUAACACGUGAGCAAUCUGCCCUUCACACUGGGAUAACAUUCGGAAACGAGGACUAAUACCGGAUACGACCACUUCAGUCAUCUGAUGGUGGUGGAAAGCUCCGGCGGUGAAGGAUGAGCUCGCGGCCUAUCAGCUUGUUGGUGAGGUAACGGCUCACCAAGGCUUCGACGGGUAGCCGGCCUGAGAGGGUGACCGGCCACACUGGGACUGAGACACGGCCCAGACUCCUACGGGAGGCAGCAGUGGGGAAUAUUGGACAAUGGGCGAAAGCCUGAUCCAGCAACGCCGCGUGAGGGAUGGCGGCCUUCGGGUUGUAAACCUCUUUCAGCAGGGACGAAGCAAAAGUGACGGUACCUGCAGAAGAAGCACCGGCCAACUACAUGCCAGCAGCCGCGGUAAUGCGUAGGGCGCGAGCGUUGUCCGGAAUUAUUGGGCGUAAAGGGCUCGUAGGCGGUUUGUCACGUCGGGAGUGAAAACUCAGGGCUUAACCCUGAGCCUGCUUUCGAUACGGGCAGACUAGAGGUAUGCAGGGGAGAACGGAAUUCCUGGUGUAGCGGUGAAAUGCGCAGAUAUCAGGAGGGACACCGGUGGCGAAGGCGGUUCUCUGGGCAUUACCUGACGCUGAGGAGCGAAAGUGUGGGGAGCGAACAGGAUUAGAUACCCUGGUAGUCCACACCGUAAACGUUGGGCGCUAGGUGUGGGACUCAUUCCACGAGUUCCGUGCCGCAGCUAACGCAUUAAGCGCCCCGCCUGGGGAGUACGGCCGCAAGGCUAAAACUCAAACGAAUUGACGG